UUAAAAGCGUUAAAGCUUUAUAUUACUUUCCACAAAAAUUCUUAAAAUAAACAUGACCCCAAAUUAGUUAUUGAAUGACCCCAUAAAAAUAUGGAAUCCAUUAUGUUAGAACUAGUAACUAGAAUUAAUAAUUCUCCAAAAUGUAAGCAUAAACCAACAUGGAUAACCCACUGGUAAUUAACGAAAAUGAAUAAAAUACAGUAACCACCUACGAAAAACAUGUAAUAUUAAUCGUCAAUCUUACACCAGAACAUUAAUGGAAAGAUUAAAAGGGGGAGAAGGAACUCGGCAAACCACGGCCCCGCCUGUUUACCAAAAACAUCGCCUCUUGCUUAAUAUAAGAGGUCCAGCCUGCCCAGUGAAAAUUUAACGGCCGCGGUACCCUGACCGCGCGAAGGUAGCAUAAUCACUCGUUCUUUAAAUAGGGACUUGUAUCAAUGGCAUCACGAGGGUCGCACUGUCUCCUCCCCCCAAUCAGUGAACCUGAUCUCUCCGUGAAGAAGCGGGGAUGAAAAUAUAAGACGAGAAGACCCCAUGGAGCUUUAAACCCAAAGCAAUCUAAUAAAUAAACCCCCAUAUAAUUUAAGUAUGCAUAACGGCUUUAGGUUGGGGUGACCGCGGGGCAAAAACAAACCCCCACAACGAAAAGAGAUAAACCUUUAUUUAAGAGCUACUACUCUAAAAAUUAGCACACUAACGAACAAUGACCCGACAAUCGAUCAAUGAACCAAGUUACCCUGGGGAUAACAGCGCAAUCUACUUCAAGAGCCCAUAUCGACAAGUAGGCUUACGACCUCGAUGUUGGAUCAGGGUAUCCCAGUGGUGCAACCGCUACUAAUGGUUCGUUUGUUCAACGAUUAAAACC
This 865-nucleotide ribosomal RNA is filed under the name Chirixalus doriae (Doria's Asian treefrog). Its description in RNAcentral is "Chiromantis doriae (Doria's Asian treefrog) partial 16S ribosomal RNA". It matches the Rfam family "Bacterial large subunit ribosomal RNA", at positions 1502 to 2595 of the family's 2925-position model. Lineage: Eukaryota; Metazoa; Chordata; Amphibia; Anura; Rhacophoridae. The record is from RNAcentral.